RNAcentral lists this long non-coding RNA (1183 nucleotides) under Chrysemys picta bellii (western painted turtle). Its description in RNAcentral is "lncRNA (ENSCPBG00000024354.1)". Lineage: Eukaryota; Metazoa; Chordata; Testudines; Emydidae. The record is from RNAcentral.
GGUCUCUACUCUCGACAGCAUCAGCCGCUCUUAACUGCCUAUUUGAGGAGCAGCAGUCGUGAAGAAGCACACUAAUAUUCCUUUGCAGCAAGACGGCAGGACGUGAGCCCAGGCUCCUCCAGCUUGGUGACAUGAUAAGGAGAACAGCAGUACCAGACCGUGGCCAGGCCAGAUAAGCCAUGUGGAGUGGGCGGGCUGUUUUUCUCAAACUACUCCUUUUGUAGUAUGUAGCCCAACUAACUCCUGAGGCCCUUACUGCGCAGCUACGCUGCUUUUUAGUUAAAACCCAGAACCCCAGCAACAAACUGCAAAGAAAAAUGGAGGGCUUAGAAAAGGACCAUCCUUACUCGGGAUCUUCCCAGCAGCCUCCACCAGCCAGAGAGGAAUACACUGUGCCAGGGGCCAUCACGCACCGCCUGCGAGACCGAGAGCUGCUGAGGAAAAGGAAAGCAGAAGCACAGGAGAAAGAUACUGUCCAAGAGCGGGGUAAGAGCACAGGGCCCAAGAGGGGCCGAGGAGCUGGGAGAAGAAGAGGCCGACAGCAGGGUACAGAGCCAGAGCCUCAGCCUGACGUGCAAGAGGAGGUGGAGAAGGAGCCCCCAGAGAAAGCACAGGCAUCUCCAGGGCACCAUGAGGAGGAGCCCGCCCUGUCUGUGGCUCAAGAGCUGUCUGGUGGGACUCAGCAGGAGGCGGUAGAGGGCCCCCCUGCUCAGGAUAUUCUGCAUCCAGCAGGUAAGCGGUUAGAGACCCUCGGGGAUCAGAGCAUAUUCCCAGAGAACUCUCCCCUAGGUGCAUCCUUGGGGAGGAGAGGAAUUGCCCAGCCAGGCAAUGGAGCAGUGACUGGCUAGCUGCAGAGCCUCUUCCUCGCUCAGGCCUGCCUUUGUACACAGCGGCGACAAAGCUGCAGCAACCUCCUGGCACCCCGCUUGCUGAGCCAGUCUGUUCCAAACGGCAACCCCUGGGAAGGCCCCGCUUCCCUUGCCACAAGUGCCACAAGGCGGGAGUGGAGUGGAUAGCUCUGUCUAGGCCUUCGGGGAGGUCCUCGCAGCAGGGAUGUCCCAGACAGUCAGUGCAGAGGGGGCAGAGCCGAGCAGGGAACUGGGCCUGGGCAACAAGAAGGGGAUCCCGCCAAGUCCAGUCUAGGGUUACCAUUCGUCCGGAUUUACCCGGACAUGUCCUCCUU